RNAcentral lists this ribosomal RNA (492 nucleotides) under uncultured bacterium. RNAcentral describes it as "partial 16S ribosomal RNA". It matches the Rfam family "Bacterial small subunit ribosomal RNA", at positions 29 to 507 of the family's 1533-position model. The record is from RNAcentral.
AGUGAACGCUGGCGGUAGGCCUAACACAUGCAAGUCGAACGGCAGCACAGUAAGAGCUUGCUCUUACGGGUGGCGAGUGGCGGACGGGUGAGGAAUACAUCGGAAUCUACUUUUUCGUGGGGGAUAACGUAGGGAAACUUACGCUAAUACCGCAUACGACCUACGGGUGAAAGCAGGGGAUCUUCGGACCUUGCGCGAUUGAAUGAGCCGAUGUCGGAUUAGCUAGUUGGCGGGGUAAAGGCCCACCAAGGCGACGAUCCGUAGCUGGUCUGAGAGGAUGAUCAGCUACACUGGAACUGAGACACGGUCCAGACUCCGACGGGAGGCAGCAGUGGGGAAUAUUGGACAAUGGGCGAAAGCCUGAUCCAGCCAUACCGCGUGGGUGAAGAAGGCCUUCGGGUUGUAAAGCCCUUUUGUUGGGAAAGAAAAGCAGCAGGUUAAUACCCCGCUGUUCUGACGGUACCCAAAGAAUAAGCACCGGCUAACUUCGUG